This 107-nucleotide small RNA is filed under the name Marmota monax (woodchuck). The record is from RNAcentral. Lineage: Eukaryota; Metazoa; Chordata; Mammalia; Rodentia; Sciuridae.
GCCAGGUGUGGUGGCGUGUGCCUGUAAUCCCAGCCAUCAGGAGGCUGAGGCAGGAGGAUCGUGAGUUCCAAAGACAGCCUCAGCAACUUAGUGAGACCCUGUCUCUA